RNAcentral lists this ribosomal RNA (462 nucleotides) under uncultured bacterium. Its description in RNAcentral is "partial 16S ribosomal RNA". It matches the Rfam family "Bacterial small subunit ribosomal RNA", at positions 28 to 507 of the family's 1533-position model. The record is from RNAcentral.
GAUGAACGCUGACAGCAUGCUUAACACAUGCCAGUCAUUGGCGAAGCUGCGCUUGCGCAGUCUAGCCAAGGCGGACGGGUGAGUAACGCGUAAGGAACUUGCCCUGCAGACAGGGAUAACAGACGGAAACGACUGAUAACACCUGGUAUUGUCAGGCUGGCGCAUGCCGGCCUGAUGAAAGGAGACGCUGCAGGAGAGCCUUGCGUCCUAUUAGCUAGUUGGUGGGGUAACGGCCCACCAAGGCGAUGAUAGGUAGCCGGCCUGAGAGGGUGAACGGCCACAAGGGGACUGAGAUACGGCCCUUACUCCUACGGGAGGCAGCAGUGGGGAAUAUUGGACAAUGGGGGCAACCCUGAUCCAGCAAUUCUGUGUGCACGAAGAAGGUUUUCGGAGUGUAAAGUGCUUUCAGCAGGGAAGAAGAAAGUGACGGUACCUGCAGAAGAAGCGACGGCUAAAUACGUG